RNAcentral lists this long non-coding RNA (334 nucleotides) under Vitis vinifera (wine grape). Its description in RNAcentral is "long non-coding RNA (VVIN_LNC005747)". Lineage: Eukaryota; Viridiplantae; Streptophyta; Magnoliopsida; Vitales; Vitaceae. The record is from RNAcentral.
GCAACUAUUGUAUCAUAACCAUAAUAUGAACAAAAUUUUCCUAAUUCUUUUUUAUUAUCUUGUUUUUCUUUUUUCAUUUGACUCUUUAAUUUGAGAUAUGUACAAAGAGCUAAACCUUCAUUAUCGAUAAAAGUAAUUAAUUCUCCAUAUGUUAAUGACUCAUAAGGAAUUCUACCAUUAUGAAUAUUUCUUAUUCUUUGUCUAACUUUUUUUGCAAAUAAAGUGGGUAAACCUAAUAUAGAUUUUUCUUUCCAAUAAUGACUUCCACGAUCAUGUCUUGACAUAACUUUGACUAAAAACAUGUCUUUAUACCACUUAAAAUCUUGAAGUUUUG